UUGAAACUAGUCUUACAAGACUAAAAUAAAAGUGGUGGCAGGAAGUCAGAGCAUCCUGCACAUGUGGACUGAUACCUCAUUCUCUGUGGAUCCUUAUCAUUUGAGGAUGUGACUGUAGGCUUCACCCAGGAGGAGUGGCAGCAUCUAGACCUUGCUCAGAGGACCUUAUACAGGGAUGUGAUGCUGGAGAAUUAUAGUCACCUCAUCUCAGUGGGGUACUGCAUUCCUAAACCAGAAGUCAUCUUCAAGUUGGAACGAGGAGAACAGCCAUGGGUAUUAGAGAAAGAGCUCUUAGGCCGUAGUUACCCAGGUGAGUUAGCAUGUAUUAAGCAGAUGGACACCAGAUGGCAUGGUAUGAAUUAUUUUUAUUCUCAAAUGUUUGCUCACAUGUUCACUUUUUUCAUCUAUCAAAUAUUGAGUUGCUACUCAAGUUUUAGGUGCUGGUAAUAAAGCAGUGAACUAAAUUUCUUCCCUGACCUCAUGGAUCUUACAUUCUGAUAGAGGAAGAUAAGAAACAAGAAAUGGCAACAGCACACACAUAUAUGCAUAUAAUAAUAUGUCAAGUGGUCAUAUAAAAUAGCAAGAAAAUUAAAGAAGGCUAGGAAAGAUAGACUGUUAUACUUUAGAAGGGAGGAACAGGAAAGGCUUUUGGAUUAUAUGAA
This is a long non-coding RNA of Carlito syrichta (Philippine tarsier), 662 nucleotides long. RefSeq lists it as uncharacterized. The transcript is spliced from 3 exons. The record is from RefSeq and is a predicted model, not a curated record. Lineage: Eukaryota; Metazoa; Chordata; Mammalia; Primates; Tarsiidae.